GAUAGAGGUGCCGAGCGUUAGGCGGAAUCACUGGGCUUAAAGCGUGUGUAGGCGGACUUCUAAGUACCUUGUGAAAUCCCACGGCUUAACCGUGGAACUGCUUGGUAUACUGGUUGUCUUGGGCCAUCUAGGGGCUACCGGAACAAACGGUGGAGCGGUGAAAUGCGUAGAUAUCGUUUGGAACGCCAAUGGUGAAAAACAGGUAGCUGGGGGAUGUGCCGACGGCUGAGACACGAAAGCCAGGGGAGCGAACGGG
Molecule: ribosomal RNA, 256 nt
Filed under: uncultured bacterium
Lineage: Bacteria
Description: partial 16S ribosomal RNA
Rfam family: Bacterial small subunit ribosomal RNA
Source: RNAcentral